RNAcentral lists this ribosomal RNA (274 nucleotides) under uncultured bacterium. RNAcentral's name for it is "partial 16S ribosomal RNA". It matches the Rfam family "Bacterial small subunit ribosomal RNA", at positions 523 to 796 of the family's 1533-position model. The record is from RNAcentral.
AUACGAAGGGGGCUAGCGUUGUUCGGAAUUACUGGGCGUAAAGCGCGCGUAGGCGGACUGAUCAGUUGGGGGUGAAAUCCCAGGGCUCAACCCUGGAACUGCCUCCAAUACUGUCAGUCUUGAGUUCGGGAGAGGUGAGUGGAAUUCCUAGUGUAGAGGUGAAAUUCGUAGAUAUUAGGAAGAACACCAGUGGCGAAGGCGGCUCACUGGCCCGAUACUGACGCUGAGGCGCGAAAGCGUGGGGAGCAAACAGGAUUAGAAACCCCAGUAGUCC